UGACACGUAGGCACCAAGCGUUGUCCGGAUUUAUUGGGCGUAAAGAGCUCGUAGGCGGUUCAGUUAGUCGGGUGUGAAAACUCUGGGCUCAACCCAGAGAGGCCACCCGAUACUGCUGUGACUAGAGUACGGUAGGGGAGUGGGGAAUUCCUGGUGUAGCGGUGAAAUGCGCAGAUAUCAGGAGGAACACCGGUGGCGAAGGCGGUCUUCUGGGGUGUAACUGACGCUGAGGCCCUAAAGCGUGGGGAGCGAACAGGAUUAGAUACCCUGGUAGUCCACGCCGUAAACGAUGGACACUAGGUAUGGGGAGUAUCGACCCUUUCCGUGCCGAAGCUAACGCAUUAAGUGUCCCGCCUGGGGAGUACGGUCGCAAGACUA
This 378-nucleotide ribosomal RNA is filed under the name uncultured Acidimicrobium sp. RNAcentral describes it as "bacterial SSU rRNA". It matches the Rfam family "Bacterial small subunit ribosomal RNA", at positions 521 to 896 of the family's 1533-position model. The record is from RNAcentral. Lineage: Bacteria; Bacillati; Actinomycetota; Acidimicrobiia; Acidimicrobiales; Acidimicrobiaceae.